RNAcentral lists this long non-coding RNA (312 nucleotides) under Nicotiana benthamiana. RNAcentral describes it as "long non-coding RNA (NBEN_LNC022944)". The record is from RNAcentral. Lineage: Eukaryota; Viridiplantae; Streptophyta; Magnoliopsida; Solanales; Solanaceae.
CGGAGUCAACCACAUGGCUAAGGCCAUUCAAUUCUGCAUGGCCAAGGCUAUCGAUUUAAAAUGGAUAAGACCAUCGCCGCAAACAGUCAACCCAACAUCGACCACGACAAAAUGAUAGACUCGACAACAAUCGAAGUCAACUAGCACAGCUAAGUCUAUUUAAUCCAAACAUGGCUAAGGCCAUCACUAUUAACAAUUGACAUAAUAUAGACCAUAGAAAAACAAAGGACUUCACGAAGGGCGAGUUAAGAUAAAAACUACGAGUUACAAACACAACAGAAGUUCCAAGGAACGAAGAACGAAUAACAACAG